This 116-nucleotide ribosomal RNA is filed under the name Propithecus coquereli (Coquerel's sifaka). The record is from RNAcentral. Lineage: Eukaryota; Metazoa; Chordata; Mammalia; Primates; Indriidae.
GACAGCCAUACCACCGUCAACACGUCCGAUCUCAUCUAAUCUAUGAAGCUAACCAGGGUGGGGCCUGGUUAGUACUCGGAUGGAGGACCGCACGGCAAUACAGGGUGCCUUAGGCU